AUUGAACGCUGGCGGCAGGCUUAACACAUGCAAGUCGAGCGGGGUGAUGGUGCUUGCACUAUCACUUAGCGGCGGACGGGUGAGUAAUGCUUAGGAAUCUGCCUAUUAGUGGGGGACAACAUCUCGAAAGGGAUGCUAAUACCGCAUACGUCCUACGGGAGAAAGCAGGGGAUCACUUGUGACCUUGCGCUAAUAGAUGAGCCUAAGUCGGAUUAGCUAGUUGGUGGGGUAAAGGCCUACCAAGGCGACGAUCUGUAGCGGGUCUGAGAGGAUGAUCCGCCACACUGGGACUGGGGAACGGCCCAGAAUCCGACGGGAGGAAGCAGUGGGGGAUAUUGGAAAAUGGGGGGAACCCUGAUCCAGCCAUGCCGCGUGUGUGAAGAAGACCUUAUGGUUGUAAAGCACUUUAAGCGAGGAGGAGGCUCUUUUGGUUAAUACCCAAGAUGAGUGGACGUUACUCGCAGAAUAAGCACCGGCUAACUCUGUGCCAGUCGCCGCCGUAA
RNAcentral lists this ribosomal RNA (503 nucleotides) under uncultured bacterium. Its description in RNAcentral is "partial 16S ribosomal RNA". It matches the Rfam family "Bacterial small subunit ribosomal RNA", at positions 30 to 523 of the family's 1533-position model. The record is from RNAcentral.